CAACCUGAGGCUGGGUUUGUCAUAAACCAAGUCAAGACAAUUGAGACCUGUUGGCAUCUUCAAGCUAGCCAGUCAUGGGGACUGUAUCUUCUUUAUCCAUGUGGCACACAAGGACUGGGGAGAUGCUGGGGAGUGACUCCUGUUCAGCUUCAGACAUUGCUUCAGGAAGGGGACAAAUUUGGCCCAGGAAUGACUGCUAGCCUUGUUGACAUUAGGGAGACUUGGCAGUGUGCUGAAAACCAACCUGAAGUAAAAGUGCCUGGUUGCUAUUUGAAAUUCAAGGUGAUUACUAGAGUCAAUACCCAUGAAAAGGGGAAAGGAUAUACUCCAAGUAGAUAUCACAGAGGAUCUAAUCACUUUGGGACAGAAGGCAUGA
RNAcentral lists this long non-coding RNA (376 nucleotides) under Homo sapiens (human). RNAcentral describes it as "non-protein coding lnc-OLFM4-11:1". Lineage: Eukaryota; Metazoa; Chordata; Mammalia; Primates; Hominidae. The record is from RNAcentral.